CAGGAAGCAGCUUGCUGCUUUGCUGACGAGUGGCGGACGGGUGAGUAAUGUCUGGGAAACUGCCUGGUGGAGGGGGAUAACUACUGGAAACGGUAGCUAAUACCGCAUAACGUCGCAAGACCAAAGAGGGGGACCUUCGGGCCUCUUGCCAUCGGAUGUGCCCAGAUGGGAUUAGCUAGUAGGUGGGGUAACGGCUCACCUAGGCGACGAUCCCUAGCUGGUCUGAGAGGAUGACCAGCCACACUGGAACUGAGACACGGUCCAGACUCCUACGGGAGGCAGCAGUGGGGAAUAUUGCACAAUGGGCGCAAGCCUGAUGCAGCCAUGCCGCGUGUAUGAAGAAGGCCUUCGGGUUGUAAAGUACUUUCAGCGGGGAGGAAGGGAGUAAAGUUAAUACCUUUGCUCAUUGACGUUACCCGCAGAAGAAGCACCGGCUAACUCCGUGCCAGCAGCCGCGGUAAUACGGAGGGUGCAAGCGUUAAUCGGAAUUACUGGGCGUAAAGCGCACGCAGGCGGUUUGUUAAGUCAGAUGUGAAAUCCCCGGGCUCAACCUGGGAACUGCAUCUGAUACUGGCAAGCUUGAGUCUCGUAGAGGGGGGUAGAAUUCCAGGUGUAGCGGUGAAAUGCGUAGAGAUCUGGAGGAAUACCGGUGGCGAAGGCG
This 661-nucleotide ribosomal RNA is filed under the name uncultured Pseudomonadota bacterium. RNAcentral describes it as "bacterial SSU rRNA". It matches the Rfam family "Bacterial small subunit ribosomal RNA", at positions 69 to 723 of the family's 1533-position model. The record is from RNAcentral. Lineage: Bacteria; Pseudomonadati; Pseudomonadota.